ACACCUACGGGUGGCAGCAGUAACGAAUAUUCCGCAAUGCGCGAAAGCGUGACGGAGCGAUGCCGCGUGCAGGAUGAAGCCCCUCGGGGUGUAAACUGCUGUCAGGGUUUAGCAACACAAUGAGCAGACCCAGAGGAAGAGACGGCUAACUCUGUGCCAGCAGCCGCGGUAAUACAGAGGUCUCGAGCGUUAAUCGGAGUCACUGGGCUUAAAGGGUGCGUAGGCGGGUCCGCAAGUGCUUUGUGAAAUCCCAUGGCUCAACCAUGGAAUUGCUUGGCAUACUGCGGGUCUUGAGGUCGGUAGAGGCUGCUGGAACUCUAGGUGGAGCGGUGAAAUGCGUAGAUAUCUAGAGGAACGCCGAUGGUGAAGACAGGCAGCUGGGCCGAUUCUGACGCUGAGGCACGAAAGCGUGGGGAGCAAACGGGAUUAGAUACCCCGGUAGUCCACGCCCUAAACGAUGUACACUAGAUCGCAGAGGCUCUGACGCCAUUGUGGUCGA
RNAcentral lists this ribosomal RNA (499 nucleotides) under uncultured Planctomycetota bacterium. Its description in RNAcentral is "bacterial SSU rRNA". It matches the Rfam family "Bacterial small subunit ribosomal RNA", at positions 335 to 849 of the family's 1533-position model. The record is from RNAcentral. Lineage: Bacteria; Pseudomonadati; Planctomycetota.